This 568-nucleotide ribosomal RNA is filed under the name uncultured Thermoplasmatales archaeon. Its description in RNAcentral is "bacterial SSU rRNA". It matches the Rfam family "Archaeal small subunit ribosomal RNA", at positions 339 to 904 of the family's 1478-position model. The record is from RNAcentral. Lineage: Archaea; Methanobacteriati; Thermoplasmatota; Thermoplasmata; Thermoplasmatales.
UCGCGAAAACUUGUCAAUGGGGGGAAACCCCGAACAGGGAAUUCCAAGUGCAUGCGUUUUACGUAUGCUGUUCUUAUGCCUAAAAAGCAUUUGAAGUAAGGGCUGGGUAAGACAGGUGCCAGCCGCCGCGGUAAUACCUGCAGCCCAAGUGGUAAUCGUUAUUAUUGAGCCUAAAGCGUCCGUAGCCGGUUUGGUAAAUCCUCGGGUAAAUCGGGCAGCUCAACUGUCCGAAUUCCGGGGGGACUGCCAGACUUGGGACCGGGAGAGGUCAGAGGUACUUCAGGGGUAGGGGCUAAAUCCUGUAAUCCUUGAAGGACCACCAGUGGCGAAGGCGUCUGACUAGAACGGAUCCGACGGUAAGGGACGAAACCCUGGGGCGCAAACCGGAUUAGAUACCCGGGUAGUCCAGGGCGUAAACGCUGCAGGCUUGGUGUUGGGGACCCUACGAGGGUGCUCAGUGCCGGAGUGAAGAUGUUAAGCCUGCCGCUUGGGGAGUACGUCCGCAAGGAUGGAAACUUAAAGGAAUUGGCGGGAGAGCACGAGCGAACGGGGAGGAGCGUGGCGGUUC